Molecule: RNase P RNA, 374 nt
Filed under: Bacteroidota bacterium
Lineage: Bacteria; Pseudomonadati; Bacteroidota
Description: Bacteroidetes bacterium (hydrothermal vent metagenome) RNase P RNA component class A
Rfam family: Bacterial RNase P class A
About the family: Ribonuclease P (RNase P) is a ubiquitous endoribonuclease, found in archaea, bacteria and eukarya as well as chloroplasts and mitochondria. Its best characterised activity is the generation of mature 5'-ends of tRNAs by cleaving the 5'-leader elements of precursor-tRNAs. Cellular RNase Ps are ribonucleoproteins.
Source: RNAcentral
GAGGAGGGUCGGACGGUCGCGUCGCGGUUGCCUGGCAACGCGCGGCGAGGAAAGUCCGAACUCCGCAGGGCAGGGUGGUCGGUAACGCCGACCCGUCGCAAGGCGGGGAAAGUGCCACAGAAAACAAACCGCCCCGGUCUCGGGGUAAGGGUGAAACGGUGGGGUAAGAGCCCACCGCCCCGGCGGUGACGUCGGGGGCACGGCAAACCCCACCCGGAGCAAGGCCAAAUAGGAGGGGAUGGACUGGCCCGGUCCGCUUGACCCUCGGGUAGGCCGCUAGAUCCCAUCGGCAACGGUGGGACCAGAUAAAUGACCGUCUCGGCCUCACUCUUGUGAGGCUACGACAGAAUUCGGCUUACAGACCCUCCUUGCUU